Molecule: ribosomal RNA, 426 nt
Filed under: uncultured bacterium
Lineage: Bacteria
Description: bacterial SSU rRNA
Rfam family: Bacterial small subunit ribosomal RNA
Source: RNAcentral
AUGAGUUAUGCGGAUGAUUAGCUAGUUGGUAGUGUAAUGGACUACCAAGGCUACGAUCAAUAGGGGUACUGAGAGGUUAAACCCCCACACUGGUACUGAGACACGGACCAGAUCUCAUACGGGAGGCAGCAGUAAGGAAUAUUGGACAAUGGUGGCAACACCUGAUCCAGCCAUGCCGCGUGCCAGGAUGAAGGCGCUACGCGUUGUAAACUGCUUUUGUACGGGAGAAAAACCUAUCUACGUGUAGAUAGCUGAUAGUACCGUAAGAAUAAGCAUCGGCUAACUUCGUGCCAGCAGCCGCGGUAAUACGAAGGAUGCAAAGCCGUUAUCCGGAAUUUAUUGGGGUCUAAAAGGGUGCGUAGGCGGACUUAUAAAGUCAGUGGUGAAAUCUCGAUGCUUAACAUCGAACGUGCCAUUGAUACUGUA